Molecule: transfer RNA, 72 nt
Filed under: Camelus bactrianus (Bactrian camel)
Lineage: Eukaryota; Metazoa; Chordata; Mammalia; Artiodactyla; Camelidae
Also listed under: 2 other names
Rfam family: tRNA
About the family: Transfer RNA (tRNA) molecules are approximately 80 nucleotides in length. Their secondary structure includes four short double-helical elements and three loops (D, anti-codon, and T loops). Further hydrogen bonds mediate the characteristic L-shaped molecular structure. tRNAs have two regions of fundamental functional importance: the anti-codon, which is responsible for specific mRNA codon recognition, and the 3' end, to which the tRNAs corresponding amino acid is attached (by aminoacyl-tRNA synthetases). tRNAs cope with the degeneracy of the genetic code in two manners: having more than one tRNA (with a specific anti-codon) for a particular amino acid; and 'wobble' base-pairing, i.e. permitting non-standard base-pairing at the 3rd anti-codon position.
Source: Rfam by way of RNAcentral
GGGGAUAUAGCUCAGUGGUAGAGCACAUGCUUAGCAUGCACGAGGUCCUGGGUUCAAUCCCCAGUACAUCCA